This is a long non-coding RNA of Zea mays, 1020 nucleotides long. RefSeq lists it as uncharacterized. The transcript has a single exon. NCBI's taxonomy places the organism in Eukaryota, Viridiplantae, Streptophyta, Magnoliopsida, Poales, Poaceae. The record is from RefSeq and is marked validated.
ACCUCUCAGGCUCUCACGCCGCCGCCGCCGCCGCUCUCAACUACCCUUGCCCCUCGCCAGUUCUCCACAGCUUUUGUUUCCAGCAUUUGAAUUUGGAUCGGCGGUGUCUUUGUUCUUUGUAUCUUUCUUUUUUGGUCGCGGUUUUGGUUCUGAUGGGGAUUUGAGCUGCGCAUCUGGCUGAGGACGAUGAAGAUUGUAUCUAUUGGUCUCGUUCGUCGUAACAGGCAUUUGAUUGCCUUUGCCGACCAUCCUGAUAUAUCACCACCCAUAUUCCGAGUCCGCUCCCAACGGUCGUCAGUUUCUAUCAACUUUUUCAUUCCCUUUAGAUUUUGAUGUUUGAUUUAUUAUUAUAUUUCCUGGCCUAUGAUUAAAUUUUCAAAAAAAGACAAGCAUAUGUCCGAAUCCUUGUAUGUGGAUAAGCCUAAUCUUCUCUAUGAGGUCGAUCACGUAUUAUAAACUUUUAUGUGUCUUGAGAUUUCCAUUCCUUUGAGGCCAAAGAUGAAAUAUGUGGAUGCUAUUUCUGUAUGACGUCUCACGUCUGAUUACAAAACCCAUUACUGCCUUCCUUCUGAGGCCUCUGUUAAUUUGGAUCUUGUUAUUUUGUCCGUGUUUAUUUUCGCCGAGUCUGCGUUGUGGUCUGGUGGCAUUUUGGAUGAGGUCGGGUGAUGAGUUGCAUAGUUCAGAUGAUCAACCCUCGUGGUUCUGAUUACAUUGAGUAAUUAGUCUUUCGCUCCUAUCUGACGACCUUAUCAAUGCCACUCCGAUAUUAUAUACUUUCCGUUAACUGAUUUCGAUACACUAAUCUUUAUUGACGUCGUAUGUUACAUUCUCAGCCAGAUACUUUCGCCGCUUCAAAAUCCUGGCCAAGAGGUUCACGGCGCCGGCUCGCAUCCGUCCUUGCCCUGCUCGCCUAUGCUAGCACCUUUUCGUCUCAUAUGGCUGCACCUUGCUUAUCGUAGUUGAAAUGGUGCACGUGAUGUAUGCAUUGUAAUCCUAUUAAUUACACCUUGCUUCAGUUCA